Onychomys torridus (southern grasshopper mouse) is the source of this 3169-nucleotide RNA transcript. It is a transcript of the gene named transcription factor 3, with no coding region annotated. NCBI's taxonomy places the organism in Eukaryota, Metazoa, Chordata, Mammalia, Rodentia, Cricetidae. The record is from RefSeq and is a predicted model, not a curated record. The transcript is spliced from 20 exons.
GGCGGGCUGGGGGGGCGGAACAUGUCUCCCGCCGCAGGAAGAUGAGGCAGCGCCGGCGGCUGCGGGCGUAGCGGGCCACCGCGGGCCACCGCCGCGCGCCGCCGCCUCUGCUCCGGUCCCUUCCCGCGGGGCCUGCUCUGCGAGAAGCUCGAGAGGGGCCGGGCGACGCGAACGCGAGUGGGGAGGAGGAGGAAGGACGCGCGCCCCCGAGCCCUGCGCGCUCCCGCCGCCCACGCGCGACCCUCGGGGACGCGCCCGCCACCCUUUUGUCCCCGGGGUCCCCGAGGGCGGUGGGCAGCAGGGAGCCCCGGUGUGCGCGGUGCAUGCCCCCGCCCAGCAGGGCUGUCUCUAGGUCUGGGGAACCCACCCCGGUUCCCACGCUUACUGCCCUGGCCGGACGAUGAACCAGCCUCAGAGAAUAGCACCUGUGGGCUCUGACAAAGAGCUGAGUGAUCUCCUGGACUUCAGCAUGAUGUUUCCACUCCCUGUGGCCAACGGGAAGGGCCGGCCGGCCUCCCUGGCUGGAACCCAGUUCGCAGGCUCAGGACUUGAGGACCGACCCAGCUCAGGCUCCUGGGGCAGCAGUGAUCAGAACAGCUCUUCCUUCGAUCCCAGCCGGACGUACAGCGAAGGCGCCCACUUCAGUGAGUCCCACAGCAGUCUGCCUUCUUCCACCUUCCUAGGACCGGGGCUGGGAGGCAAGGGCAGUGAGCGGAGCGCCUAUGCCACCUUCGGGAGAGACACCAGUGUUGGUGCACUGAGUCAGGCUGGCUUCCUGCCAGGAGAACUGGGCCUCAGCAGCCCCGGGCCACUGUCCCCAUCCGGUGCCAAGAGCAGCUCCCAGUAUUACCCCUCAUACUCCGGCAACCCUCGGCGGAGAGCUGCAGACGGUGGCCUAGAUACACAGCCCAAGAAAGUCCGGAAGGUCCCGCCCGGUCUUCCCUCCUCUGUGUAUCCGCCCAACUCAGGUGACAGUUACAGCAGGGACGCCGUAGCCUACCCCUCCGCCAAGACCCCCAGCAGCGCUUACCCCUCCCCCUUCUACUUGGCAGAUGGCAGCCUGCACCCCUCGGCGGAGCUUUGGAGUCCCCCCGGCCAGGCGGGCUUCGGUCCCAUGUUAGGUGAUGGCUCGUCCCCUCUGCCCCUUGCCCCGGGCAGCAGCUCAGUGGGCAGCGGUGCCUUCGGGGGCCUCCAGCAGGAACGCAUGAGCUACCAGCUGCAUGGAUCUGAGGUGAACGGCACGCUCCCAGCUGUGUCCAGCUUCUCAGCCGCCUCUGGCACUUAUGGUGGAACUUCUAGCCACACGCCCCCUGUGAGCGGGGCCGACAGCCUCAUGGGUGCCCGAGGGACUACAGCCAGCAGCUCAGGGGACGCUCUUGGGAAGGCACUGGCCUCGAUCUACUCCCCAGAUCACUCCAGCAAUAAUUUCUCGCCCAGCCCCUCGACGCCUGUGGGCUCACCCCAGGGCCUGCCAGGGACAUCACAGUGGCCCCGGGCAGGAGCGCCCAGUGCCUUAUCUCCCAGCUACGAUGGGGGUCUCCAUGGCCUGAGCAAGAUGGAGGAUCGCUUGGAUGAGGCUAUCCAUGUCCUUCGCAGCCAUGCCGUGGGCACUGCCAGCGAUCUCCACGGACUUCUGCCUGGCCACGGGGCACUGGCCACAAGCUUCGCAGGCCCUGUGCCACUGGGCGGGCGGCAUGCGGGCCUGGUCAGUGGCAGCCACCCUGAGGAUGGACUCGCCAGCGGGGCCAGCCUCUUGCAUAACCAUGCCAGCCUCCCCAGCCAGCCAAGCUCCCUCCCUGACCUCUCGCAGAGGCCGGCUGACUCUUACAGUGGACUCGGGAGGGCGGGUGCCGCGGCAGGCGCCAGUGAGAUCAAGCGAGAGGAGAAAGACGAGGAGGAGAACGCGUCGGUGGCCGACACCGAGGAGGACAAGAAGGACCUGAAGGCCCCACGCACGCGCGCCAGCCCAGACGAGGACGAGGACGACCUUCUCCCCCCAGAGCAGAAGGCCGAGCGGGAGAAGGAGCGCCGGGUAGCCAAUAACGCCCGCGAGCGCCUGCGGGUCCGCGACAUCAAUGAGGCCUUUAAGGAGCUGGGCCGCAUGUGCCAGCUGCACCUCAGCAGCGAGAAGCCGCAGACCAAACUGCUCAUCCUGCACCAGGCCGUGGCCGUCAUCCUCAGCCUGGAGCAGCAGGUGCGAGCAGUACGGACGAGGUGCUGUCCCUGGAGGAGAAGGACCUGAGGGACCGGGAGAGACGCAUGGCCAAUAACGCACGAGAGCGGGUGCGCGUGCGGGACAUUAACGAGGCUUUCCGGGAGCUGGGCCGCAUGUGCCAGCUGCACCUCAAGUCGGAUAAGGCGCAGACCAAGCUGCUGAUUCUGCAGCAGGCCGUGCAGGUUAUCCUGGGCCUGGAGCAGCAGGUGCGAGAACGUAACCUGAACCCCAAAGCGGCCUGCUUGAAGCGGCGGGAGGAGGAGAAGGUGUCUGGCGUGGUCGGAGAUCCCCAGCUGGCGCUGUCGGCCGCCCACCCUGGCCUGGGUGAGGCCCACAACCCGCCCGGGCACCUGUAAGCCGUCCCAUGCGUCUCCGUGGGACCAGGGACCACUGCACUCUGCCCAGGGUGCAGCAGGACGGUCCUGGGUGAGGCGGGUCUCCAGCGAGGCAUGGAAGAAGGCUCAAGCUCAUCAUGGUGGCAGCGAGGCUCCAGGAACGCUUCAGGGCCUCGGGGUUCUGUGGCAGCCCUGUGUCCUGGCCCCAGUAACCAACCCGAGGGGCGCUUCCCCCUCGAUCAACCGAAACUGGAAACAAGCAGCAUGCUCGCUUUUCAGAAAGACAACAAGAUGCCUUAACUGUGGAAGAGCCGGGCCGCACCCUGGCGAGGGCGGCCGGGGACUGGCUUCUGGUUCAGAGCCGCCAGCACAUAGUGCCUAAGCGUAUUUUUUUAAGGAGAAUAAAAGAACAUUAGUUAUCAGAUUUUUUUUUUAAUGUAGACAAAACUUAGCAAGAACGAGGCCUUCCGUGUCUUAUUGUUAUUUUUUUUUUAGCUUUCUUUUGCCUAUGUUUUGUAAGCAACAAAUUUUUGUAUAAAAGUCUCCUGUCUGUUGCUGUUUCUAGAGCUCAGUGUCAUAUUUCAUGGUCUACGAGGUUAUUAAAGUAGCAUUGAAAAGA